RNAcentral lists this long non-coding RNA (1457 nucleotides) under Nicotiana tabacum (common tobacco). RNAcentral describes it as "long non-coding RNA (NTAB_LNC019361)". The record is from RNAcentral. Lineage: Eukaryota; Viridiplantae; Streptophyta; Magnoliopsida; Solanales; Solanaceae.
CCACUUCCUGGUCCACAAAUCACAAUAAAAGCCUCAAGUCAGUGCCGAGCAAUCCGAAACUAGUCAAAGGUUGUACAAACCAAUUAAUAUUUGCUCAAAAGUUCAUAAUUUAACUAUCGAAAAAGGUCCAAAACUGCCCCUAAACUAAUGAAUAUAGAGCAAUUAUGCCCUCCGUUUGAUUUUGAUACCAAAAAUAUCCUUGCUGUUAAAUUACUGGACCACUUAUACCCCUAAAAACUCAUAGAGCUCCAGCUCAAAUUUGACACAUUUAAAAAGUAUGUUUAUGCUGAUGCAGAAGUCCAACUCAGAUGAAAUAUUUGAUAAUUCAAAGUGAAGUGUUAAGGGCUAGACUGAGCAUGGGCUAAGUAUUCCAUACCUGCUACACAACCUCCAUCAUUGUCGUUACACCACCGUCCUAAAAUACACAACUACCAUGUAUUGAAAGAUGGACAACACAUUAAAACCCUUACAAGCAUAUCCUUUCCAUUCUCCUUAAUCAGGAGGCAGGGCUGCUGGUGAUAAUAUUUUUGGCCAAGGACAAAAGAAAUUGAAUAUGGAGAGAGACAAAAUCGAUGAUGGUAGAGAGAGAAUUUGUGCGAUGGUCAAGGUAUGGAAGUCGAUGGCGCCGGUGAUUAUGUUUGGUGACAACAUUGCCGAGAGGAGGGAGGGCGAUGGUCAACUCGAGUUUUUCAUCCCGAGUGGUCAAAUGGAUUUUGAUUUGGUAUGUCGUUGUCAAUUUUUCACUAGAUAAUUAAGUCAUUCAUGGUGAACUGCACAUAAGAGCCUAUCCCCCUAAACGACUAGUUUGGUUUUAAAAGACUCCAGAUUUUGUUAUCAAAAUGUUGCAGUUCCUUUGCUAUGCGACACUGCAGCAAGAAGUAGGAAACUUUUUGUGUUCAAGUUUGGAUUGUUAGUACACUUCUUGUUGAUUUCUGUAUUUCUUAUAUGAAUUACUUGGUUUAUAAUUUUUAUUAUGGAUCUACAGUACUUGAUUAUCACUGUGUUCUAAAAGUUGUCAUUCGUAGUGAUCGCUUGUAAAUAAUAGACUUUAUUGUUUUAUGUUUAUGAUACUAGAGACCAAAAAAAGAUGAGCUUAUCCCCAAGAAUUACUAUGAAUUUAAUGGAGUUGCAAUCGAUGCAAUAUUGUUUUAUUGAAUGAUUUUCUUGUCUUGAAGGUUCUAUAUCCACAAGAUGAUUUCCCCAAUGGAAGUGUCACUGUAGAGGUUUUUCCAGCGAGUGAUAGACAGAAGAUAAGGUGUUGCCUUCACAUUGUAGGUGUCUGAAAGUUGAGUGGAAGGUGGAGUCAAAAAGUCAAAAAAGAAAAUCUUUUAAUGUGUCAAAUUUGAGCUGGAGCUCUAGUAGUUUUUAGGCGUAUAAGUGGUCCAAUAAUUUAUCAACAAGGAUAUUUUUGGUACCAAAAUCAAAUGGAGGACAUAAUUGCUCUAUAUUCAUUAGUU